Molecule: ribosomal RNA, 402 nt
Filed under: Papilio bootes nigricauda
Lineage: Eukaryota; Metazoa; Arthropoda; Insecta; Lepidoptera; Papilionidae
Description: partial 16S ribosomal RNA
Source: RNAcentral
GGCUGCAGUAUUUUGACUGUACAAAGGUAGCAUAAUCAAUAGUCUCUUAAUUGGUGACUUGUAUGAAAGAUUGGAUGAGAUAUAUACUGUCUCUUGUUAAUUUAUAGAAAUUAAUUUUUUAGUAAAAAAGCUAAAAUAAUUUUAAAAGACGAGAAGACCCUAUAGAGUUUAAUAAUUUAUUUAAUUAUUAUUAAUAUAUAAUUUUUAAAAUUAAAAUUAAAUAAAUUAUUUUGUUGGGGUGAUAGAAAAAUUAAAUUAACUUUUUUUAAUUAUUUACAUUAAUUUAUGGUUAAAUGAUCCAUUUAUAAUGAUUAAAAGAAAAAAUUACCUUAGGGAUAACAGCGUAAUUUUUUUUUUUAGUUCAAAUAGGAAGAAAAGUUUGCGACCUCGAUGUUGGAUUAA